CCUACGGGGGGCAGCAGUGGGGAAUAUUGGACAAUGGGCGAAAGCCUGAUCCAGCCAUGCCGCGUGUGUGAAGAAGGCCUUCGGGUUGUAAAGCACUUUCAGUGGGGAAGAAAGCCUUGGGGCUAAUACCCUCGAGGAAGGACAUCACCCACAGAAGAAGCACCGGCUAACUCCGUGCCAGCAGCCGCGGUAAUACGGAGGGUGCGAGCGUUAAUCGGAAUUACUGGGCGUAAAGCGCGCGUAGGCGGUCUGAUAAGCCGGUUGUGAAAGCCCCGGGCUCAACCUGGGAACGGCAUCCGGAGCUGUCGGGCUAGAGUGCAGGAGAGGAAGGUAGAUUCCCCGGUGUAGCGGGGAAAUGCGUGGAGAUCGGGAGGAAUACCAGUGGCGAGGGAGGCCUUCUGAAAUGACACUGACGCUGAGGUGCGAAAGCGUGGGUAGCAAACAGGAUUAGAUACCGUGUAGUC
RNAcentral lists this ribosomal RNA (464 nucleotides) under Vreelandella stevensii. RNAcentral describes it as "partial 16S ribosomal RNA". It matches the Rfam family "Bacterial small subunit ribosomal RNA", at positions 338 to 795 of the family's 1533-position model. The record is from RNAcentral. Lineage: Bacteria; Pseudomonadati; Pseudomonadota; Gammaproteobacteria; Oceanospirillales; Halomonadaceae.